AAACUCGUGCUAAUACCGAAUAAUCUCUAAGGAGGAAAGGGGACCUCUAUUUAUAAGUUCUCGCUAAUGGAUGAGCCCAAGGAAGAUUAGCUAGUUGGUAAGGUAAUGGCUUACCAAGGCUACGAUCUUUAGCUGUUCUGAGAGGAUGAUCAGCCACACUGGGACUGAGACACGGCCCAGACUCCUACGGGAGGCAGCAGUAGGGGAUAUUGCACAAUGGGGG
Molecule: ribosomal RNA, 223 nt
Filed under: uncultured Gammaproteobacteria bacterium
Lineage: Bacteria; Pseudomonadati; Pseudomonadota; Gammaproteobacteria
Description: partial 16S ribosomal RNA
Rfam family: Bacterial small subunit ribosomal RNA
Source: RNAcentral